GGCUCAGGAUGAACGCUGGCGGCGUGCUUAACACAUGCAAGUCGAGCGAAGCACUUAUGAAAGAUUCUUCGGAUGAUUUCAUUUGUGACUGAGCGGCGGACGGGUGAGUAACGCGUGGGUAACCUGCCUCAUACAGGGGGAUAACAGUUGGAAACGACUGCUAAUACCGCAUAAGCGCACAGUACCGCAUGGUAUCGUGUGAAAAACUCCGGUGGUAUGAGAUGGACCCGCGUCUGAUUAGCUUGUUGGUGGGGUAACGGCCUACCAAGGCGACGAUCAGUAGCCGACCUGAGAGGGUGACCGGCCACAUUGGGACUGAGACACGGCCCAAACUCCUACGGGAGGCAGCAGUGGGGAAUAUUGCACAAUGGGGGAAGCCCUGAUGCAGCAACGCCGCGUGAGUGAAGAAGUAUUUCGGUAUGUAAAGCUCUAUCAGCAGGGAAGAAAAUGACGGUACCUGACUAAGAAGCCCCGGCUAACUACGUG
RNAcentral lists this ribosomal RNA (486 nucleotides) under uncultured bacterium. Its description in RNAcentral is "bacterial SSU rRNA". It matches the Rfam family "Bacterial small subunit ribosomal RNA", at positions 21 to 507 of the family's 1533-position model. The record is from RNAcentral.